GGCAAGAUGGCCGAGUGGUUAAGGCGUGUGACUUAAGUAAGCCAUUGCAUACUAUGUUUUCCCAUGACAGAGAUGUCUCGUGGGUUCGAACCCCACUCUUGCCA
This 104-nucleotide transfer RNA is filed under the name Galerina marginata CBS 339.88. It matches the Rfam family "tRNA". From Rfam's summary of the family: Transfer RNA (tRNA) molecules are approximately 80 nucleotides in length. Their secondary structure includes four short double-helical elements and three loops (D, anti-codon, and T loops). The record is from Rfam by way of RNAcentral. Lineage: Eukaryota; Fungi; Basidiomycota; Agaricomycetes; Agaricales; Galerinaceae.